GGCAAAGUUGGCAUGUGAUACCUUUUCGGAAAGCCCAAAGAGAGCCCUCCGACGAAAGAAGCAGGACAAUGGAACUUUUCCAUUGACUUUUUGUCUACCCCAAAUUUUGACCUUUAAGUACUUUUUCGGGCAUUUCCGUGAUUUGGGCUAUAUUACGGACCCAAAAUUACUUGUUCAAGCAUUGUUUUCGAAUUUUUUCAUGCAUCAAAGCUCGUUAAGACUAGAUGGGGUAUCCCUACAUAGCGGGUGGGACCCACGGCGAAUGGUUCAUCAAGUCUUCAAAAAAGAAUAUAUACGAUUGCAUUGCAUAUACUAACGGAUGCGAUCAUACCAGCACUAAUGCACCGGAUCCCAUCAGAACUCCGCAGUGAAGCGUGCUUGGGCGAGAGUAGUACUAGGAUGGGUGACCUCCCGGGAAGUCCUCGUGUUGCAUCCCUCUUUUUUUUUUAAUUUUUUUUUUUUUGGUUAAAAGUUUAUGACUCCAUAACUUGUACACUG
RNAcentral lists this ribosomal RNA (498 nucleotides) under Arabidopsis thaliana (thale cress). Lineage: Eukaryota; Viridiplantae; Streptophyta; Magnoliopsida; Brassicales; Brassicaceae. The record is from RNAcentral.